UUACCGGAGGUAAAGCACUGAAUAGGCUAGGGGGCGAGAGUCUACCGACCCUUAUCAAACUCUGAAUGCCGGAUAAUUGAUGCACAGCAGUCAGACAGUGUGAGAUAAGUUUCAUUGUCAAAAGGGAAACAGCCCAGACCCACAGCUAAGGUCCCAAAUGUAUGUUAAGUGGAAAAGGAUGUCCAGUUGCACAAACAACCAGGAUGUUGGCUUAGAAGCAGCCACACAUUCAAAGAGUGCGUAACAGCUCACUGGUCGAGUGACCGGGCGCCGAAAAUGUAACGGGGCUAAACAUAUAACCGAAGCUUGGGCUGCACAGCAAUGUGCGGGGUAGGGGAGCGUUGUGUGCGGGGUGAAGCAUGAGCGGAAGCGCGUGUGGACUGCACAGAAGUGAGAAUGCCGGAAUGAGUAGCGCGAAUUAUGUGAGAAUCAUAAUGGCCGAAAGCCUAAGGUUUCUGGAGGAAGGUUCGUCCGCUCCAGGUUAGCCGGGAGCUAAGGUGAGGCCGAAAGGCGUAGCCGAUGCACAUACGGUGGAGAUUCCGUAGCCAUCAAAAGAUUUAAGCAGAGGGACACAGUAGAAGGGUACAUGCCGGGCGUUGGUAGCCCCGGUUGCAAGGGACCGAAAUUAGAGUAGGGAAGAUGGACUUGGAUACUGGCGAGAAAAGCUCUGUGGAUAUCUGCGAUGCCCGUACCGCAAACCGACACAGGUAGGUAGGAAGAGGAUUCUAAGGCCAACGGGAGAAGGGUUGUUAAGGAACUCGGCAAGUUGACCCCGUAACUUCGGGAGAAGGGGUGCUCUGGAAACAGAGCCGCAGAGAAUAGGUCCAGGCAACUGUUUAGCAAAAACACAGCUCUCUGCUAAAUCGAAAGAUGAUGUAUAGGGGGUGACGCCUGCCCGGUGCUGGAAGGUUAAGAGGAGGAGUGAGAGCCCCGAAUCGAAGCCCCAGUAAACGGCGGCCGUAACUAUAACGGUCCUAAGGUAGCGAAAUUCCUUGUCAGGUAAGUUCUGACCCGCACGAAAGGCGUAAUGAUCUGGACACUGUCUCAACAGCCCACCCGGCGAAAUUGUAGUACCGGUGAAGAUGCCGGUUACCCGCGACAAGACGGAAAGACCCCAUGGAGCUUUACUGCAGCCUAAUAUUGGAUUUCGGUAUUUCAUGUACAGGAUAGGUGGGAGACUGGGAAACACAGGCGUCAGCUUGUGCGGAGUCGCCCUUGGGAUACCACCCUUGAAGUGCUGGAAUUCUAACCUGUGGCCAUGAAUCUGGUCAGGGGACAUUGUUAGGCGGGCAGUUUGACUGGGGCGGUCGCCUCCAAAAGAGUAACGGAGGCGCUCAAAGGUUUGCUCAGCAUGGCCGGAAACCAUGCCUUAGAGUGUAAACGCAAAAGCAAGCCUAACUGCGAGACCGACGGGUCGAGCAGAAACGAAAGUUGGAGUUAGUGAUCCGGUGGUAUGUGAGUGGAAA
Molecule: ribosomal RNA, 1466 nt
Filed under: human gut metagenome
Description: bacterial LSU rRNA
Rfam family: Bacterial large subunit ribosomal RNA
Source: RNAcentral